Molecule: ribosomal RNA, 875 nt
Filed under: Bacillus xiamenensis
Lineage: Bacteria; Bacillati; Bacillota; Bacilli; Caryophanales; Bacillaceae
Description: bacterial SSU rRNA
Rfam family: Bacterial small subunit ribosomal RNA
Source: RNAcentral
CAGCCUAAUACAUGCAAGUCGAGCGGACAGAAGGGAGCUUGCUCCCGGAUGUUAGCGGCGGACGGGUGAGUAACACGUGGGUAACCUGCCUGUAAGACUGGGAUAACUCCGGGAAACCGGAGCUAAUACCGGAUAGUUCCUUGAACCGCAUGGUUCAAGGAUGAAAGACGGUUUCGGCUGUCACUUACAGAUGGACCCGCGGCGCAUUAGCUAGUUGGUGAGGUAACGGCUCACCAAGGCGACGAUGCGUAGCCGACCUGAGAGGGUGAUCGGCCACACUGGGACUGAGACACGGCCCAGACUCCUACGGGAGGCAGCAGUAGGGAAUCUUCCGCAAUGGACGAAAGUCUGACGGAGCAACGCCGCGUGAGUGAUGAAGGUUUUCGGAUCGUAAAGCUCUGUUGUUAGGGAAGAACAAGUGCAAGAGUAACUGCUUGCACCUUGACGGUACCUAACCAGAAAGCCACGGCUAACUACGUGCCAGCAGCCGCGGUAAUACGUAGGUGGCAAGCGUUGUCCGGAAUUAUUGGGCGUAAAGGGCUCGCAGGCGGUUUCUUAAGUCUGAUGUGAAAGCCCCCGGCUCAACCGGGGAGGGUCAUUGGAAACUGGGAAACUUGAGUGCAGAAGAGGAGAGUGGAAUUCCACGUGUAGCGGUGAAAUGCGUAGAGAUGUGGAGGAACACCAGUGGCGAAGGCGACUCUCUGGUCUGUAACUGACGCUGAGGAGCGAAAGCGUGGGGAGCGAACAGGAUUAGAUACCCUGGUAGUCCACGCCGUAAACCGAUGAGUGCUAAGUGUUAGGGGGUUUCCGCCCCUUUAUGCUGCAGCUAACGCAUUUAAGCACCUCCGCCUGGGGGAGUACGGUCGCAAGGACUG